RNAcentral lists this ribosomal RNA (253 nucleotides) under uncultured bacterium. RNAcentral describes it as "partial 16S ribosomal RNA". It matches the Rfam family "Bacterial small subunit ribosomal RNA", at positions 524 to 776 of the family's 1533-position model. The record is from RNAcentral.
AACGUAGGAGGCGAGCGUUAUCCGGAUUCACUGGGCGUAAAGCGCGUGCAGGCGGUUCGGUAAGUUGGGCGUGAAAUCUCCUGGCUUAACUAGGAGAGGUCGUCCAAUACUACCGGGCUAGAGAGUGGUAGAGGAAGAUGGAAUUCCCGGUGUAGUGGUGAAAUGCGUAGAUAUCGGGAGGAACACCAGUGGCGAAAGCGAUCUUCUGGACCAUUUCUGACGCUCAGACGCGACAGCUAGGGUAGUAAACGGG